CUCCUUUCACAUUUUCAGGGACAGACCUGGGAUGUGAAAUUUCAAACUCUGCCCUGAGUUAAAUUCCAGGAGAGGGUACAAGAGCAAAGGAUAAAGGCUGGGGGAGGGAGGGAAAGGCAGAGAGGACGUGUCCCUGCUGUUCUCACUGAAGCCAGGCCACACGACCCUCAGGGCCAGCCUGCUGAACUGUGCACACACACAUCACCCCCACACAAGGUCUCCUUGGCCCCAUCUUCCCAGGGACCUCGGGGGAGGGCAACAGAGGAGGUGACAAGUUUCUCUCUGAGCAGUUGAUGCUGGGAGAAACGUGUGGCUUGCAGAGCUGCCAGUCCCACAAAAACCACAUCCUGAAAGAUGGACCAAGUAGAAAAAAAGGCCACCAUCCACCUCAGGCCAGCUUCUGGAACUGUCAGUUCCUUUGGGGAAUGUCUGACAUGUUCUUUUUCCCUCUGAUUUCAUCCCAAACCUUUUGAGAAGCAGGUUGCGUGGCAUUGCACAAGUUACUUAGAUUUACUGAGCCUGUUUCCUCCUGCAAUAAAUGGGCACGAGCCUCCCUGGGCUGUUAAGGAAAUUCAAUCAGAAACUGUGUAAAGGCCCUGAGGCACUAAAGGCCAAUUUGGGUUCCCGACCUCCUUCCCACCGUCUGCCCUCCAUCCCAGGCACACAACCAGAGAGAUACCUCGAAGAUGAGAGGAGGCCGUCACCACAAUGGAUUCCGGCCCUGGGGUCUGAUGGAGACAUUGGUCCGCCCUUCGGUCAGACUCUUGGGGGCGUUAGGGGGGUGGGGGGGUCUCUGCUCUGCAACCCUUAGCUGAACCCCAUCCUCCACUUCUCUCCUCCCGUCUGGUCAGAGUGGGAAGAGGUUUGGAUUGGGAUCCCCCCUCCUGCACUUCCUGGCUGGGUAACCUGGACGAUGGGAUAACAGUCCCCCGAUUGCAAGGUCAGGGGAAGGACUGUGUCAGAAUAUAGGCCCUCAGUGCAGGACAGUUGCUCAUCCUAAGCCUCUCCUGCCUUUUGCUCUUCCAGUGGCUUUUCACCCAGAAGGAAGAUCCUCCCCUGCAGAACCUCUCCCCAGAACUAGGUCUUUGCAGGUGACGAGGUAAUCCCAGCCUCCCCUCCCCGCAGAUCAGCGUUUUUCGAAGUGACUUUCUCACCAGGCGGAGCAUUGAAAGUACCGAUCCCAGCGCACCCAGCCCUGCUGAAUCAGAAUCUCUGGGGGUGAGGCCCAGGAAUCGCCGUCUGAACAAGUCGCGGGCUGGAAACGGCUGCCCCAGAUUACAGGGCAGCUCCCUGCUUCGCUCUCGCUCCUCCGGCCCCGGGAACGUGCAGGGGGGCGGGAGGCAAGUCCCAUCAGCACUUUGAACUGGGGCUGCUUUUUAGUGACUCACCUCCCAGACUUCCUGCAACAGACAACUCUAAAUAGCUCGGUCCCACCCUCCAGCAGGGGAGACAUUCCGGUCGGGAAGGGCAGGAGGUUAGAAGGUGGGUGCCCCGCCAGGGCAGUCCAGGGAGACCCAAGGACAGGAGACGCUGGCUGCACAGCACAGGGGCGCACGAAUAGGACGUUUUGUUUACAGGCUUUUGUUAUUAAGGAAAUUGGUGUCAGUCAAGGUAAUUCUAGCUCAGAUGAGCAAUAAAUAUGCUCCCAGCUAAUCUUGUGGGGAUUUUAUUGGCACUCGGAGCAGAGGUUCCUUUACCUUGACUACUCCCUCCCCUCAAAGCAAAGUCCUGCUCCCCAGCGGCUUCCCCCUAAGCAUCGUGAGGCACUUGGGUCAGGCUUUUAAAAGUCCACUCUACGUGAACACAGAAGAGGUCCGGGCAAAGGUGAGGAGUGGCUUCCUGAUCCUACCUGGAGGCCGAGGAUGACCAAAUGACCUGAAAUAAAACCCUGGGUGACCUGGUUGGAUCAAGGCAUACGCAAGCUCCCCCGGGCCUGCUCCACACUCGGGGUGAUCACCUGGCCCGCGGGCGGCCCGGGCAAGGAGGAACGUCUCGAGAAGGCAGCCGGCUCGCCGGAGUCGGUUCCAGCGUGUUCGAGUUACAGCUGCGAGCCCUCAGGGACACCGGCGGCAAGUCCCGGCUUGCAGAGAGGGGAGCCAGUCCCGGGAGAGCGCGAGUCCCGGCGAGCCCGAGUGCGCGCCUUAUGCGCGCUCCCCGCGACGGCGCAGGGGGAGGGGAGGCCGCAGCAGCCACUCAGAGGAACGGUAGUGAAGCCUCCCAACAACUUUAACUGUCAAUCAGACUUAAUGGGGUAUUGAAAAAAUGGGGGAAAAAGGGGCCGCCCUCUCCGCGACGCGGCUGCCCGGGGAGCGAAUGAAUAGGGCCGCGCAGACCAAGGCGUCCGAUCCACGCGCGCUCCACACCCGGACCCUCUCCAAGUUGGAAAGGACAAAAAGAAGGCAAUAAAUGCUAAAAAGGGAGAGAAGGGGAGCUGGAUCGAGCGGCAACUCCCAGCCUCUGCUGGAACAGAGAGGGAGGGAGGGAGCCGGAGCGAGCGAGCGCGCGCGAGGGCGAGCGCUGCACGUAAAGAAACUGACACCCGGACCCCCCACUUCUCCUGCACGUUGCUGGCAAUCAGAUCGCGUUUAAGCAAUUUCCUGAGCCCAAGAAUAGCAAUGAGUCGGGAGACUUUCGCGGGCUGAAAUUGGGAGCUCCAAGCACUUUUUCCCCCCACUUU
RNAcentral lists this long non-coding RNA (2677 nucleotides) under Homo sapiens (human). RNAcentral's name for it is "PREDICTED lncRNA (TCONS_00013865)". Lineage: Eukaryota; Metazoa; Chordata; Mammalia; Primates; Hominidae. The record is from RNAcentral.